Molecule: ribosomal RNA, 482 nt
Filed under: uncultured bacterium
Lineage: Bacteria
Description: bacterial SSU rRNA
Rfam family: Bacterial small subunit ribosomal RNA
Source: RNAcentral
AUCAUGGCUCAGGACGAACGCUGGCGGCGUGCUUCAUACAUGCAAGUCGAACGAUAAGGUCUCUUCGGAGAUACAUAAGUGGCGGACGGGUGAGUAAUGUGUAGAGAAUCUGCCCUUUAGUGGGGGACAACAGAGGGAAACUUCUGCUAAUACCCCAUAUGCGCGUAGCUGAGAUGCUAUUCGUGAAAACUCCGGUGCUAAAGGAUGAGUCUGCAUCUGAUUAGCUAGUAGGCGGUGUAAUGGACCACCUAGGCGACGAUCAGUAGCUGGUUUGAGAGGAUGAUCAGCCACAAUGGGACUGAGACACGGCCCAUACUCCUACGGGAGGCAGCAGUAGGGAAUUUUGCGCAAUGGGGGAAACCCUGACGCCAGCAACGCCGCGUGAAUGAAGAAGCCCUUCGGGGUGUAAAGUUCUGUCAGUGGGGACGAAACUUGACGGUACCCACAGAGGAAGCAUCGGCUAACUCCGUGCCAGCAGCCGC